UGCAAUGCACCUUAACAGCACAACACAUUCUGUAGUAAGAGUAACUCUUAUUUUCUGUUGGGUGCAUUAUAUAGACAUCCAUUAUCGAAUGACAGCAGAUCAAGUCAGGAGAUCAAGAGACUCCGGGAGAAUUCCAGGCUCAGGUAAUAUGCGAGGCAACCCACAUCAUUACUAAUGCUGAGGCAAAAUGGCCAGGAUCUGUGCAUGAUGCCAGAAUUUUCCGCGAGUCAUCAUUAUGCCAGACAUUUCAGCAGGGACAGUACAAUGGUUACUUGCUGGGGGACAGAGGAUACCCUUGUCUGCCCUAUUUAAUGACACCCUACCCUAAACCUGAUCCUGGACCACAGACACGCUUUAACCUGGCUCACAGCCGAACACGGGCCAAGGUGGAGAUGACCAUAGGGAUCCUCAAGUGUAGGUUUCAGUGUCUGCGUGGGCUCCGGGUCAGUCCAGAGAGGGCAUGCGACAUCAUAGUGGCUUGUGUUGUGCUUCACAACAUUGCCACUAUAAGAGGAGAGAGCCACCCUCCUUGUAUUGAAGAAGAUGGCCCAGAGGAACCCCUACAGAUUUUUGCACACAACAGAGAUGGAAGACUUUUGAGAGACAGGAUUUGUCAAAAUUUCUUUUAUUAAAUUGUUUGCACUGGUC
Labeo rohita (rohu) is the source of this 648-nucleotide long non-coding RNA. RefSeq lists it as uncharacterized. Lineage: Eukaryota; Metazoa; Chordata; Actinopteri; Cypriniformes; Cyprinidae. The record is from RefSeq and is a predicted model, not a curated record. The transcript has 3 exons.